Long non-coding RNA from Pieris napi, 315 nucleotides. RefSeq lists it as uncharacterized. The transcript has 2 exons. Lineage: Eukaryota; Metazoa; Arthropoda; Insecta; Lepidoptera; Pieridae. The record is from RefSeq and is a predicted model, not a curated record.
GGUGUGUUUAAUAAUAUUAAAAAUGGAUUUGGAUAACGAAGUUUUGAUAGCCUUAGUGUUUGAUAAACAAUGUUUAUGGGACAAAACUCAUAAGUUCCACAGCAACAGAAAUUUCGAUGUCAAACUACUCUCAUUUAAGUAAUGUUUCCCGUAAUAGUACUCCAGAGACCUGCAACGAAAUAACUCUUCCACAAACUUCGAGUGACAAUAUUGCUGUUAUAAGCAACCAAUUAGCCACAGAAGAAUAUAUUUUUCAUUGUGAUUAAAACUACUUACAAAUAAAACAUACUAGCCUACUGAAUGAAUAAAGGUCAA